GGUUAAGCGACUAAGCGUACACGGUGGAUGCCCUGGCAGUCAGAGGCGAUGAAGGACGUGCUAAUCUGCGAUAAGCGUCGGUGAGGUGAUAUGAACCGUUAUAACCGGCGAUUUCCGAAUGGGGAAACCCAGUGUGAUUCGUCACACUAUCAUUAACUGAAUCCAUAGGUUAAUGAGGCGAACCGGGGGAACUGAAACAUCUAAGUACCCCGAGGAAAAGAAAUCAACCGAGAUUCCCCCAGUAGCGGCGAGCGAACGGGGAGGAGCCCAGAGCCUGAAUCAGUGUGUGUGUUAGUGGAAGCGUCUGGAAAGGCGCGCGAUACAGGGUGACAGCCCCGUACACAAAAAUGCACAU
This 355-nucleotide ribosomal RNA is filed under the name Escherichia coli. RNAcentral describes it as "partial 23S ribosomal RNA". It matches the Rfam family "Bacterial large subunit ribosomal RNA", at positions 1 to 392 of the family's 2925-position model. The record is from RNAcentral. Lineage: Bacteria; Pseudomonadati; Pseudomonadota; Gammaproteobacteria; Enterobacterales; Enterobacteriaceae.